UGCAGUCGAACGGUGAUGGCCAGCUUGCUGGUCUGAUCAGUGGCGAACGGGUGAGUAACACGUGAGCAACCUGCCCUUCACUCUGGGAUAACCACGGGAAACGGUGGCUAAUACCGGAUAUGAGACGUACACGCAUGUGUCGCGUCUGGAAAGAUUUAUCGGUGAAGGAUGGGCUCGCGGCCUAUCAGCUUGUUGGUGGGGUAGUGGCCCACCAAGGCGACGACGGGUAGCCGGCCUGAGAGGGCGACCGGCCACACUGGGACUGAGACACGGCCCAGACUCCUACGGGAGGCAGCAGUGGGGAAUAUUGCACAAUGGGCGCAAGCCUGAUGCAGCGACGCCGCGUGAGGGAUGACGGCCUUCGGGUUGUAAACCUCUUUCAGCAGGGAAGAAGCGCAAGUGACGGUACCUGCAGAAGAAGCGCCGGCUAACUACGUGCCAGCAGCCGCGGUAAUACGUAGGGCGCAAGCGUUGUCCGGAAUUAUUGGGCGUAAAGAGCUCGUAGGCGGUUUGUCGCGUCUGCUGUGAAAACCUAAGGCUCAACCUUGGGCUUGCAGUGGGUACGGGCAGACUAGAGUGCGGUAGGGGUGACUGGAAUUCCUGGUGUAGCGGUGGAAUGCGCAGAUAUCAGGAGGAACACCGAUGGCGAAGGCAGGUCACUGGGCCGCAACUGACGCUGAGGAGCGAAAGCAUGGGGAGCGAACAGGAUUAGAUACCCUGGUAGUCCAUGCCGUAAACGUUGGGCACUAGGUGUGGGGCUCAUUCCACGAGUUCCGUGCCGCAGCAAACGCAUUAAGUGCCCCGCCUGGGGAGUACGGCCGCAAGGCUAAAACUCAAAGAAAUUGACGGGGGCCCGCACAAGCGGCGGAGCAUGCGGAUUAAUUCGAUGCAACGCGAAGAACCUUACCAAGGCUUGACAUACACCGGGAAAAGUGCAGAGAUGUGCUCCCCGCAAGGUCGGUGUACAGGUGGUGCAUGGUUGUCGUCAGCUCGUGUCGUGAGAUGUUGGGGUUAAGUCCCGCAACGAGCGCAACCCUCGUCCCAUGUUGCCAGCG
This 1055-nucleotide ribosomal RNA is filed under the name Cellulomonas sp. 1152G10. Its description in RNAcentral is "bacterial SSU rRNA". It matches the Rfam family "Bacterial small subunit ribosomal RNA", at positions 56 to 1123 of the family's 1533-position model. Lineage: Bacteria; Bacillati; Actinomycetota; Actinomycetes; Micrococcales; Cellulomonadaceae. The record is from RNAcentral.